Molecule: ribosomal RNA, 227 nt
Filed under: uncultured bacterium
Lineage: Bacteria
Description: partial 16S ribosomal RNA
Rfam family: Bacterial small subunit ribosomal RNA
Source: RNAcentral
UGAGUAACGCGUAUCCAAUCUGCCGUCUACUCUUGGACAGCCUUCUGAAAGGAAGAUUAAUACAAGAUGGCAUCAUGAGUCCGCAUGUUCACAUGAUUAAAGGUAUUCCGGUAGACGAUGGGGAUGCGUUCCAUUAGAUAGUAGGCGGGGUAACGGCCCACCUAGUCUUCGAUGGAUAGGGGUUCUGAGAGGAAGGUCCCCCACAUUGGAACUGAGACACGGUCCAA